AUGCUUCAUGUAUUAAUGGUUUUUGGUGGUGGUUCGGUAUUGUUUUUGGAGUGGAGGAGGACAGUGGUGGAUCGAGGAAAGGCGGCAGAGGAAGGAGGAGGGUUUUUCCAGUUGUUGUGGCGGUUCGGUAGGGUUUGUGGUUGUGGUGUUUCAGUAUAUUUCAGUAUAUUUCAGUAUAUUUCGUUAUAUUUCAAUGUACUGUUUCAGUAUAUUUCAGUGUACUGUUUCAGUAUAUUUCGCUAUAUUUCAAUGUAUUUCUAAUUUACGACACAGUUUCUGAUA
Long non-coding RNA from Lycium ferocissimum, 282 nucleotides. RefSeq lists it as uncharacterized. The transcript is spliced from 2 exons. NCBI's taxonomy places the organism in Eukaryota, Viridiplantae, Streptophyta, Magnoliopsida, Solanales, Solanaceae. The record is from RefSeq and is a predicted model, not a curated record.